This 360-nucleotide RNase MRP RNA is filed under the name Glossina morsitans morsitans. Its description in RNAcentral is "rNase MRP". It matches the Rfam family "RNase MRP". From Rfam's summary of the family: RNase MRP is an enzymatically active ribonucleoprotein with two distinct roles in eukaryotes. In mitochondria it plays a direct role in the initiation of mitochondrial DNA replication. In the nucleus it is involved in precursor rRNA processing, where it cleaves the internal transcribed spacer 1 between 18S and 5.8S rRNAs. The record is from RNAcentral. Lineage: Eukaryota; Metazoa; Arthropoda; Insecta; Diptera; Glossinidae.
CGAGUCUUCUAUGCUUGUCUUUCGGGGUUACAUACGAGUUCUUAGUAACUCUUGUUUGACACCCUGGGAAAAGUCCCCGGGUCCAGGAUAGAAAGUAUCAAGGCGUAAAAAGUAUUUAUUAAAAUGCUCAAAAGACUCUCGUCCGAUAGUUCGCUGUGCAAUUUUAAUUAAUAUUCGCCUAUAUUCCAUGGAAAUUCUCUUAGCAUGAAAUCAAUGAAGAGUCAAAGUUUGACGAAUUGAUGCUAGGUGUCCAUGGAAACGUGCCAGAUAAAAUUCUUAGUAAUAGACAACCGAAAUGCGUGCCGAUUUCUCUUAGAAACCGGCAGGUGUUUACAUAAUGGGGCUUACAUUGGGAGAUUC